Molecule: long non-coding RNA, 1424 nt
Organism: Cryptomeria japonica (Japanese cedar)
Lineage: Eukaryota; Viridiplantae; Streptophyta; Pinopsida; Cupressales; Cupressaceae
Exons: 8
Source: RefSeq, a predicted model, not a curated record
UCCAUAUCCAAUUGAACGAGUUCGGCUAUGCGUGCGGAGAUUUUUUCCUCAUUGUACCGUUAAUUUGACGCUCUUCCCAAGGCGCCCCACCUGUACAAUUUGCAAUUUCGUUGUUUGUUGGGUUUAAUAGCUUGGGUACAAUUCGCCAGAGUUGUUCAGACCAGGAAAUCUCCUUCGACGUCAAGAAUUCGGCUGCUAAUUCUGCAGAACAACACAUUUUCCGCAUUCCACAGAACAACACGUUUUCCGAAUUCCACGGUUUACGUGCAGUGAAGUGACUGCAUUUGUUGGCAUUUUUUUUUUGAGUAGUUUUUUGCCGUGUUUGUUUCUGCCUCCAGACGAAGGGAAGUGAAAAUAAAAUUUCAGAAAAGUUCUUGAAAGGCAACCGCGCGGCAUCGAAGUGCGGCUCAUCGUUGUGGAGCUGAGCAAGCAGAAUCCUCAAUUGACAAGGCUUAUUCAAGAGCAUAAUCCGAUUUUCUAUGCUUAUUGAAAGAACUAGUCAAAGGUGUAGAAGGAUUUUGUUAAUGAUCUUACUGGAGUAAUGCCCAGGUCAUCAAUAUUACCCCAGAAGAAUGCUAUGCAAUUGGAGUGGAAAUGUUCAGCCAAUGCUAUAGGAGCUGAACAAGCAGAAUCUUCAAGUGAUGAGGUUUAUCCCAGCGAACCAAUCUGAUUUUCUUUGCUUACUGAAAGAAUUAAUCAAAGGUGGAGACAGUGGAUGCAAGAUAAGCUAAGCCCUCAAGAUGGAGGGAGAGUAUCAUCAAGGAGAGGAUUGCAAACUUCGGAAGAGACCAAACUUGCUUGGCUUGUUAGUUAGCAUGCUGUCGAUCUUAUCCUUUUAUCGUCUUUGUGAGUUGCAUUGGAUGCAGGAUAAGCUAAGCCCUCAAGAGGGAGGAGAGUAUCAUCAAGGAGAGGAUUGCAGACUUCGGAAGAGAUCAAACUUGCUUGGCUUGUUAGUUAGUUGCUAGUUCAUCUGCAUCUGAGAAGAAUUGGAGCACAAUUUCUUUCAACCACUCAGCAAAGAACAAUAAAUUGCACUCAAAAAGAAUGGAGAACUUAGUAUAUGUGCAUUCCGACUUGCAUCUCCUUUCACACAAACAACAUGACUACAAGGAAGGGGAGACAAAGUUGAGGGAUACAGAACCAAAGCAUACUGAAUUGGAUGCAUCCACUUCCCAAGAUAUUGCAUUUGAGGAGUCUGAAAGAUAGCACACUCUUAGUGCAAGUGGCACUGACAAUGGCACUAGCACUACUUUUGGUUCAUCCAAUGUUCCUACAUCAUCUAAUGUCAAUGAUGAUGAUGAUGAUAUUGAUGAUUUGGAAAAUACAUUUGAUGAUUAAAACUCAAAACUAUUUGUUGAGCUUGAUAUUAUUAUUUUGAUAUUGAACUUGAAGUUUGAAUGAUAAAAAUUUACUGUGCAUGUUUU